UAUGUGAUCGUCUCUCGCAUAUCAAUAAGCGGAGGAAAAGAAACUAACAAGGAUUCCCUUAGUAACGGCGAGUGAAGCGGGAAGAGCUCAAAUUUGAAAUCUUCAAGGUUUUACCUUGACGAAUUGUAGUUUAAAGAAGUGUUUUCUGUUGAAGUUUUGGUAAAAGUUCUUUGGAAUAGGACAUCAUAGAGGGUGAGAAUCCCGUAUUUGACCAUUAUUUUCAGCUGUGUGAUACACUUUCAAAGAGUCGGAUUGUUUGGGAAUGCAGUCCAAAAUGGGUGGUAAAUUUCAUCUAAAGCUAAAUAUUGGCGAGAGACCGAUAGCGAACAAGUACCGUGAGGGAAAGAUGAAAAGAACUUUGAAAAGAGAGUUAACCAGUACGUGAAAUUGUCAAAAGGGAAGCGUUUGACACCAGUGUUGUUUUCUCGAAAAUCAAUUAAAAAGAGUUAGAUUUUGUUGUGUAUUGACCUUAACAGCUUGCAUUUCAAUUUUCUUGCUUUUUUUAAUGCACUUUCCGUUUAACAAGUCAACAUCAGUUUCUUUUGUUGUAAAAAGGUCAUUGGAAGGUGGCUUUCUUUUCGGAGAAAGUGUUUAUAGCCUUUGACUCCUGCAAUCGGAGAGACUGAGGUCUGCAGCGUAGAUCCUUCGGGGUUAGAUACAUUUGUGCUAAGUUAUAGCUUUUUAUAGACAACUUGUUGACUAUGAUUAGUCUUGUAGCUUACUCGCUUAUGCUAUUUUACCUACGCUUAGGAUGUUGAAGAUGUAGCACAUCAU
This 774-nucleotide ribosomal RNA is filed under the name uncultured Neocallimastigales. RNAcentral describes it as "partial large subunit ribosomal RNA". It matches the Rfam family "Eukaryotic large subunit ribosomal RNA", at positions 24 to 620 of the family's 3401-position model. The record is from RNAcentral. Lineage: Eukaryota; Fungi; Neocallimastigomycota; Neocallimastigomycetes; Neocallimastigales.